This 133-nucleotide ribosomal RNA is filed under the name uncultured bacterium. RNAcentral describes it as "partial 16S ribosomal RNA". It matches the Rfam family "Bacterial small subunit ribosomal RNA", at positions 223 to 353 of the family's 1533-position model. The record is from RNAcentral.
GAGUGGACUCGCGUCCGAUUAGUUAGUUGGUGAGGUAACGGCUCACCAAGACCGCGAUCGGUAGCCGGACUGAGAGGUUGAACGGCCACAUUGGGACUGAGACACGGCCCAGACUCCUACGGGAGGCAGCAUG